Molecule: ribosomal RNA, 1511 nt
Filed under: Klebsiella pneumoniae subsp. pneumoniae ST258-K26BO
Lineage: Bacteria; Pseudomonadati; Pseudomonadota; Gammaproteobacteria; Enterobacterales; Enterobacteriaceae
Description: SSU rRNA
Rfam family: Bacterial small subunit ribosomal RNA
Source: RNAcentral
UUAAAUUGAAGAGUUUGAUCAUGGCUCAGAUUGAACGCUGGCGGCAGGCCUAACACAUGCAAGUCGAGCGGUAGCACAGAGAGCUUGCUCUCGGGUGACGAGCGGCGGACGGGUGAGUAAUGUCUGGGAAACUGCCUGAUGGAGGGGGAUAACUACUGGAAACGGUAGCUAAUACCGCAUAACGUCGCAAGACCAAAGUGGGGGACCUUCGGGCCUCAUGCCAUCAGAUGUGCCCAGAUGGGAUUAGCUAGUAGGUGGGGUAACGGCUCACCUAGGCGACGAUCCCUAGCUGGUCUGAGAGGAUGACCAGCCACACUGGAACUGAGACACGGUCCAGACUCCUACGGGAGGCAGCAGUGGGGAAUAUUGCACAAUGGGCGCAAGCCUGAUGCAGCCAUGCCGCGUGUGUGAAGAAGGCCUUCGGGUUGUAAAGCACUUUCAGCGGGGAGGAAGGCGAUAAGGUUAAUAACCUCAGCGAUUGACGUUACCCGCAGAAGAAGCACCGGCUAACUCCGUGCCAGCAGCCGCGGUAAUACGGAGGGUGCAAGCGUUAAUCGGAAUUACUGGGCGUAAAGCGCACGCAGGCGGUCUGUCAAGUCGGAUGUGAAAUCCCCGGGCUUAACCUGGGAACUGCAUUCGAAACUGGCAGGCUAGAGUCUUGUAGAGGGGGGUAGAAUUCCAGGUGUAGCGGUGAAAUGCGUAGAGAUCUGGAGGAAUACCGGUGGCGAAGGCGGCCCCCUGGACAAAGACUGACGCUCAGGUGCGAAAGCGUGGGGAGCAAACAGGAUUAGAUACCCUGGUAGUCCACGCCGUAAACGAUGUCGAUUUGGAGGUUGUGCCCUUGAGGCGUGGCUUCCGGAGCUAACGCGUUAAAUCGACCGCCUGGGGAGUACGGCCGCAAGGUUAAAACUCAAAUGAAUUGACGGGGGCCCGCACAAGCGGUGGAGCAUGUGGUUUAAUUCGAUGCAACGCGAAGAACCUUACCUGGUCUUGACAUCCACAGAACUUUCCAGAGAUGGAUUGGUGCCUUCGGGAACUGUGAGACAGGUGCUGCAUGGCUGUCGUCAGCUCGUGUUGUGAAAUGUUGGGUUAAGUCCCGCAACGAGCGCAACCCUUAUCCUUUGUUGCCAGCGGUUCGGCCGGGAACUCAAAGGAGACUGCCAGUGAUAAACUGGAGGAAGGUGGGGAUGACGUCAAGUCAUCAUGGCCCUUACGACCAGGGCUACACACGUGCUACAAUGGCAUAUACAAAGAGAAGCGACCUCGCGAGAGCAAGCGGACCUCAUAAAGUAUGUCGUAGUCCGGAUUGGAGUCUGCAACUCGACUCCAUGAAGUCGGAAUCGCUAGUAAUCGUAGAUCAGAAUGCUACGGUGAAUACGUUCCCGGGCCUUGUACACACCGCCCGUCACACCAUGGGAGUGGGUUGCAAAAGAAGUAGGUAGCUUAACCUUCGGGAGGGCGCUUACCACUUUGUGAUUCAUGACUGGGGUGAAGUCGUAACAAGGUAACCG